Molecule: ribosomal RNA, 253 nt
Filed under: uncultured bacterium
Lineage: Bacteria
Description: partial 16S ribosomal RNA
Rfam family: Bacterial small subunit ribosomal RNA
Source: RNAcentral
UACGGGGGGGGCAAGCGUUGUUCGGAAUUACUGGGCGUAAAGGGCCAGUAGGCGGCCAACUAAGUCCGACGUGAAAUCCCAAGGCUUAACCUUGGAACUGCGUCGGAUACUGGAUGGCUUGAAUUCGGGAGAGGGAUGCAGAAUUCCACGUGUAGCGGUGAAAUGCGUAGAGAUGUGGAGGAACACCAGUGGCGAAGGCGACUCUUUGGCCUGUAACUGACACUGAGGCGCGAAAGCGUGGGGAGCAAACAGG